CUUGAAUCAAAAUGGGGGGACCUGGCUGGGCAUUAUUGCCUCACAAUGCGGGAGUUUAUUGCUGAAACCUGCUUAUCCCCCAGCUCCGCGCUCCAUGGGAACUGCGGUCAGGUGGAAAGUGAUUCUGUUCUCUGCCGAGGCGGCUUGAAGUGUCGUAAGACCCGCUAAAGUCCUAAAGCCCUUCCUCGUAACUGAGACAUUUAGGAUAAUCUUUAUGGGAGUUUUGCAUGAGCUUCUGCUUUUUGUUGCACUUAGAAGGAGAGUUAAUGAUGAGCUUUCACUGGCUUCUCCCCCCCCCCCCUUUUUUUUUAAAUCUAAGCCCAAAAGCGCCUGUUUAAGUUAAGUACCACCUCCCUCCAGCCCUUGGGAAACCACUCAAGAGGGCUUUGCUUGGCUCUGUGUUCAUGACACAUAAUGAAAACAAUUUUACGCUGUGGAGGGAAGUAUUGGGCAAUUACUGAUGUAACAGCCACCUGCAGUAGCGAGCCCUGGCUGCAGCAUUGCGAGAGCCCACUGUGUAACACCAAGAAGCAUCCUGACCCUGCCUGGAUCGACGCGAGGGCAGCUGAGGCUGAGGCAAGAUGCUCUGACAAGUCACGGAAACAUCAAGAUUUAAACUGAGUAUCACAGCAUAAACAACAUAUUUCCAGCAUUCAGACUCUGUGAUUCUUCCUAUCGGUAUAUUUAAGAUUUCAGGAUCCCAUCCAGGAUAACAUAUUACAUUUAUUGUCAUGUUUACUUGGGCUGCUCUCCGCCGUGCGACAGUUUCUCAGACUUUCCUUAUUGUUAGCCUUUUUGACUGCUGACUGCCAAUGCUGAGAAUAGCGCCUGCCAUAUACCAGCUGGACGGGACUUCUGUAAUUUCACCCUCUCAUUUCACAAGUGAGGAUGCAAAAGCUGAAAGUGACUGAGUAGCUUCCCAAAGUCAACACCAGGCUGAUGAUAAGAGGAAAGUUUUGAUCUUAGGUAUUUUGGCUUCCAUUCCAGUGUUCUCUCACUUCAUCGAAUUGUGUGUCUAAUACCUGAAUCAAAGGAGUUUGAAUUGAGUUGUUAUUCUAAUAAUAAAGCUUGGC
RNAcentral lists this long non-coding RNA (1073 nucleotides) under Equus caballus (horse). RNAcentral describes it as "lncRNA (ENSECAG00000034831.3)". The record is from RNAcentral. Lineage: Eukaryota; Metazoa; Chordata; Mammalia; Perissodactyla; Equidae.